This 117-nucleotide small RNA is filed under the name Salmonella enterica. RNAcentral's name for it is "RtT sRNA". It matches the Rfam family "RtT RNA", at positions 15 to 130 of the family's 130-position model. Rfam says of the family: This family represents a bacterial cis-regulatory element known as RtT RNA. RNAcentral also lists the same sequence under 1 other name. The record is from RNAcentral. Lineage: Bacteria; Pseudomonadati; Pseudomonadota; Gammaproteobacteria; Enterobacterales; Enterobacteriaceae.
GGGAAGGAUGAGAAGCUUCGACCAGGGUUCGAUUCGAGCGCAGCGAGAAAGCGUUGCCGCAGGCAACGACCCGAAGGGCGAAGCGCGCAGCGCUGAGUCAUCCUUCCCCCACCACCA